RNAcentral lists this small nucleolar RNA (107 nucleotides) under Gossypium hirsutum (cotton). RNAcentral's name for it is "Plant small nucleolar RNA R71". It matches the Rfam family "Plant small nucleolar RNA R71". Rfam says of the family: R71 is a member of the C/D box family of snoRNAs containing the C (UGAUGA) and D (CUGA) box motifs. Lineage: Eukaryota; Viridiplantae; Streptophyta; Magnoliopsida; Malvales; Malvaceae. The record is from Rfam by way of RNAcentral.
AACCAAUGGUGAGGGCACCUUCUCAAUAUAUUAUUGUAUCUCUCCCAUGCAUCGCAAAGUGUUUUUAAAUCCAUCUACACAAAAGAGGAGAUAUCAUUACGUAAUUU